UACGUAGGGGGCUAGCGUUAUCCGGAAUUACUGGGCGUAAAGGGUGCGUAGGUGGUUUCUUAAGUCAGAGGUGAAAGGCUACGGCUCAACCGUAGUAAGCCUUUGAAACUGGGGAACUUGAGUGCAGGAGAGGAGAGUGGAAUUCCUAGUGUGGCGGUGAAAUGCGUAGAUAUUAGGAGGAACACCAGUUGCGAAGGCGGCUCUCUGGACUGUAACUGACACUGAGGCACGAAAGCGUGGGGAGCAAACAGG
Molecule: ribosomal RNA, 252 nt
Filed under: uncultured bacterium
Lineage: Bacteria
Description: partial 16S ribosomal RNA
Rfam family: Bacterial small subunit ribosomal RNA
Source: RNAcentral